This is a long non-coding RNA of Harmonia axyridis, 929 nucleotides long. RefSeq lists it as uncharacterized. The transcript has 3 exons. The record is from RefSeq and is a predicted model, not a curated record. Lineage: Eukaryota; Metazoa; Arthropoda; Insecta; Coleoptera; Coccinellidae.
UUUUAUAUCCAGAAAUGACCAAAGAAAGAAUCAACUUUGAUAUGAAGGCAUGAGCUUUUGUUCUUGAUAAGGAACAACCAAGAACCAUAAAAUAUUGUGAAUUUUUCCAAUAUAUAUAUAUGUUCAGUAAUAUAAUAAUGAUAAGGUUGAUUCAGAUCACAGAAGCACAUCUCUAUAUGUCUACAUAAGAAUCAUAAGAAGCGGGACACGUGUUGAAGAAAACCUGGUUAUGUUUGUUUGUCAUUUGUUCCUUGUCGUCAUUAUCUGAUGAAACUGUCUAUAAACCAAGAUCGCUGGUGUUUCUAUGGAAAAUUUAGAUUAUGAAAAUGGAAUUUUCAUUUACGUGAUAGUGAAAUCUGUGCUCAAGUAAUCGAUUGAGUUGGAGCUGAGUUUAAUAGAAGAUUUCAAAGCCCAAAUGUAUAGCAGUGAUAACCAAACUCUGAUGUCCCCAUGCAGAAGCUUGCCCAUGUGAUACCGUUGAGGAAAAAGCACUAUAUUAUGAAAUCAACCCUAUGAUAAAAAAAACUAAUAUUCGAAUUUGGAGAAUUUCUUAACCAGGACCUGUAGAAAAAGCUCCAAGGAAACAUGUAUAUAGAAAAAAGUUAACGAAAUACUUAUAGUUUCAAUUCACGGCUCCAAGGGUGGUCAACCGUAAAAAUGUAUGGUAGUCAUAGAAGUCUAUAUUACAGUUGCCGCAAUUUUAUAAUUGAAUCACAUAUAAAAGAGUUAUUCAACUCUUGUAGGAACGAUAUUUCAGUUUGACUACAUUUCUUGAUUAUUAAACUAAACCUGAAACCCCUAUUGAAAUUAGAUUAGUUUUAGUUUCAAGUAAUUGAGUAGGCAAUGUUAAUGUAAAUAAACUGUACCUCUCACUGUGAACUCUGUCUUCUAAUUGUUUUGUAAUCAUUAAAUUAUGAAUAAAUUGUUAA